AACGAACGCUGGCGGCACGCCUAACACAUGCAAGUCGAGCGCACCCUUCGGGGCGAGCGGCGGACGGGUUAGUAACGCGUGGGAACAUGCCCUUCACUAAGGAAUAGCCUCUGGAAACGGAGAGUAAUACCUUAUACGCCCUUCGGGGGAAAGAUUUAUCGGUGAAGGAUUGGCCCGCGUUAGAUUAGAUAGUUGGUGGGUAACGGCCUACCAAGUCGACGAUCUAUAGCUGGUUUGAGAGGAUGAUCGGCAACACUGGGACUGAGACACGGCCCAGACUCCUACGGGAGGCAGCAGUGGGGAAUCUUAGACAAUGGGCGCAAGCCUGAUCUAGCGAUGCCGCGUGAGUGAUGAAGGCCUUAGGGUCGUAAAGCUCUUUCACCAGGGAUGAUAAUGACAGUACCUGGAAAAGAAACCCCGGCUAACUCCGUG
RNAcentral lists this ribosomal RNA (432 nucleotides) under uncultured bacterium. RNAcentral's name for it is "bacterial SSU rRNA". It matches the Rfam family "Bacterial small subunit ribosomal RNA", at positions 29 to 507 of the family's 1533-position model. The record is from RNAcentral.